GACGAACGCUGGCGGCGUGCUUAACACAUGCAAGUCGAACGAUGAAGAAGAGAAACGCGAACUUCGGUUCAAAUUUCACUUCGGAUUAGUGGCAGACGGGUGAGUAACGCGUGAGCAACCUGCCUCUUACAAAGGGAUAGCCUCGGGAAACCGUGAUUAAUACCAUAUGACACAUUCAUAAGGCAUCUUAAGAAUGUUAAAGCUACGGCGGUAAGAGAUGGGCUCGCGUCCCAUUAGCUAGUUGGUGAGGUAACGGCCCACCAAGGCGACGAUGGGUAACCGGCCUGAGAGGGUGAACGGUCACAUUGGAACUGAGACACGGUCCAAACUCCUACGGGAGGCAGCAGUGGGGAAUAUUGCACAAUGGAGGGAACUCUGAUGCAGCGACGCCGCGUGAGCGAUGAAGGAAUUCGUUUCGUAAAGCUCUGUUCUAUGGGAAGAAAAGGACUGUACCAUAGGAGAAAGCCCCGGCUAAAUACGUG
This 482-nucleotide ribosomal RNA is filed under the name uncultured bacterium. Its description in RNAcentral is "partial 16S ribosomal RNA". It matches the Rfam family "Bacterial small subunit ribosomal RNA", at positions 28 to 507 of the family's 1533-position model. The record is from RNAcentral.